GGCAGGAUGGCCUAGUGGAUAGAGCGCCGGCAUGGGACUCCGAACGCCUGAGUUCUAGUCCCAGUUCUGCCA
Molecule: non-coding RNA, 72 nt
Organism: Chelonia mydas (Green sea turtle)
Lineage: Eukaryota; Metazoa; Chordata; Testudines; Cheloniidae
Source: Rfam